This 200-nucleotide ribosomal RNA is filed under the name uncultured bacterium. RNAcentral's name for it is "partial 16S ribosomal RNA". It matches the Rfam family "Bacterial small subunit ribosomal RNA", at positions 32 to 215 of the family's 1533-position model. The record is from RNAcentral.
AAUCAACGCUGGCGGCGUGCCUAACACAUGCAAGUCGAACGCGAAGACCCCGCAAGGGGUUGGUAGCGUGGCAAACGGGUGAGUAACGCGUGGGCGACCUACCCUCGAGUGGGGGAUAACCUUCCAAAAGGAGGGCUAAUACCGCAUGACAUCCCGUGUUUGGAUACACGGAGAUCAAAGCCGGGGAUCGCAAGACCUGG